CAUAGCGACUAUCGUGGCAUAUCAAUAAGCGGAGGAAAAGAAACUAACUAGGAUUCCCUUAGUAACGGCGAGUGAAGCGGGAAGAGCUCAAAUUUGAAAUCUUCAAGGUUCUACCUUGACGAAUUGUAGUUUAUAGAAGUGUUUUCUGUUAGUGGAGUGGCAAAAGUUCUUUGGAAUAGGACAUCAUAGAGGGUGAGAAUCCCGUAUUUGGUCAUUCCUCCUAGCGUUGUGAUACACUUUCAACGAGUCGGAUUGUUUGGGAAUGCAGUCCAAAAUGGGUGGUAAAUUUCAUCUAAAGCUAAAUAUUGGCGAGAGACCGAUAGCGAACAAGUACCGUGAGGGAAAGAUGAAAAGAACUUUGAAAAGAGAGUUAAACAGUACGUGAAAUUGUCAAAAGGGAAGCGUUUGACACCAGUGUUGUUUUUCCGAAAAUCAAUUACGAAUGUUUUGUUUUUGAGGAGUUAUGACUUCAUCGGCUUGCUCCUUUCUUUAUGAAACUUUCUUAAUGCACUUUUCGGUUAACAAGUCAACAUCAAUUUCUUUUGUUGUAAAAGGUUAAGAGGGAGGUGGCUUUACUUUCGGGUAAAGUGUUUAUAGCCUUUUAACUCUGCAAUCGGAGAGAUUGAGGUCUGCAGCGUAGAUCCUUCGGGGCUAGAUACGUUUGUGCUAAGUUAUAGCUUUUCAUAGACAACUUGUUGACUAUGUUUAGUCUUGUAGCUUACUCGCAUGACGCUAUUUUACCUACGCUUAGGAUGUUGAUAUGCAUGACUGAUAU
RNAcentral lists this ribosomal RNA (775 nucleotides) under uncultured Neocallimastigales. Its description in RNAcentral is "partial large subunit ribosomal RNA". It matches the Rfam family "Eukaryotic large subunit ribosomal RNA", at positions 22 to 643 of the family's 3401-position model. Lineage: Eukaryota; Fungi; Neocallimastigomycota; Neocallimastigomycetes; Neocallimastigales. The record is from RNAcentral.